GACGAACGCUGGCGGCGUGCUUAACACAUGCAAGUCGAACGGAAAGGCCCUGCUUUUGUGGGGUGCUCGAGUGGCGAACGGGUGAGUAACACGUGAGUAACCUGCCCUUGACUUUGGGAUAACUUCAGGAAACUGGGGCUAAUACCGGAUAGGAGCUCCUGCUGCAGGGUGGGGGUUGGAAAGUUUCGGCGGUUGGGGAUGGACUCGCGGCUUAUCAGCUUGUUGGUGGGGUAGUGGCUUACCAAGGCUUUGACGGGUAGCCGGCCUGAGAGGGUGACCGGCCACAUUGGGACUGAGAUACGGCCCAGACUCCUACUGGAGGCAGCAGUGGGGAAUAUUGCACAAUGGGCGGAAGCCUGAUGCAGCAACGCCGCGUGCGGGAUGACGGCCUUCGGGUUGUAAACCGCUUUCGCCUGUGACGAAGCGUGAGUGACGGUAAUGGGUAAAUAAGCACCGGCUAACUACGUG
Molecule: ribosomal RNA, 468 nt
Filed under: uncultured bacterium
Lineage: Bacteria
Description: partial 16S ribosomal RNA
Rfam family: Bacterial small subunit ribosomal RNA
Source: RNAcentral